GACAUCCAACAAGUACUCUCUGUAUCCAGAAACACUAACUUAUCUAAGAGCAGAGAAUUCACAGGAACCCUAUAAUCGUCAGUUAGGUUUUGCAUCAAAACAGAUGCAGCAAGAAAAGCCGCAUCUCAAUGCCGUUGUGACUUUAUGAAGGUGGACAAUCCUGGUUGAGCAGAGAUAUUGCAGAUGUCUCCCCUGUCAUGGAGGAUAACCUGCCUUCCCAGCUUGUCUUACAGAUGCUGAAGAAGCUCCCAAAAUAUAGUUGGGAUUUUAGUAACAAAUAUCCUAUGAGUUGCUGAAUUGAAUUCAGUAAUCUCAGAAAACCCAGCCUGGCCCUCCAAACUCAAGCCUCUCCACUGGGUCUCACACCUUGACAGUAUGCUCCAUCGCACCGCCAUUUCUACACCCCACGCCUGGGCCUGGCUGAAACUUCAAGGCUCCCCUUGGAAGGCAGCCCAUCUUUGAGGUCAGAAGAAAACACUGUCAUUCUGAAAGUUGGCCACUCACCUUCGAAAUAUCCCAUCCCUAUGGUUUUUUUGUUGUUGUUUGUUUUGUUUAAAGGCAACAAAACGGCUAGUCUGUGACCCAUACCAGAGGUGUUAAAACAGAAG
Homo sapiens (human) is the source of this 608-nucleotide long non-coding RNA. The record is from Ensembl. Lineage: Eukaryota; Metazoa; Chordata; Mammalia; Primates; Hominidae.